RNAcentral lists this ribosomal RNA (497 nucleotides) under uncultured bacterium. RNAcentral's name for it is "partial 16S ribosomal RNA". It matches the Rfam family "Bacterial small subunit ribosomal RNA", at positions 28 to 507 of the family's 1533-position model. The record is from RNAcentral.
GAUGAACGCUAGCGGCGUGCCUAAUACAUGCAAGUCGAGGGACCAGACGAGGAUCUUACUACACUGACUGUAGCGGCGGACAGGUGAGUAACACGUGGAUACCCUACCUAUUAAACUGGGGUAACUUCGGGGGAAAGCCGGUAAUACCCGAUAAUAUAUUAUACAGCAUGGUUCCUUAGUGAUUGACGGUUUUGCUGUCACUUAUAGAUGGAUCCGCGCCGCAUUAGCUAGUUGGUAUGGUAACGGCUUACCCCGGCAACCAUGCGUAGAGGAACUGAGAGGGGGGUCGGCCACACUGGAAGUGAGACACGGUCCAGACCCCUACGGUAGGCAGCAGAAGGGAAUGUACCGCAAUGGGAGGAAGCCUGAUGGAGCACAGCCGCGUGAGGGAUGAAGGUCUUCGGAUCUUAAAACUCUGUUACUAGUGUAGAACACAUGUGCAAGGUACUAUGCCCGUCUUGACGGUACCUAAGCAGAAAGCCCCGGCUAACUACGUG